GCUCAGGAUGAACGCUAGCUACAGGCUUAACACAUGCAAGUCGAGGGGCAGCAUGAUUGAAGCUUGCUUCAAUUGAUGGCGACCGGCGCACGGGUGAGUAACACGUAUCCAACCUGCCGGUUACUCGGGGAUAGCCUUUCGAAAGAAAGAUUAAUACCCGAUGUUAUGGUUUUUCCGCAUGGGAGAACCAUCAAAGGAUUCCGGUAACCGAUGGGGAUGCGUUCCAUUAGCUUGUUGGCGGGGUAACGGCCCACCAAGGCGACGAUGGAUAGGGGUUCUGAGAGGAAGGUCCCCCACAUUGGAACUGAGACACGGUCCAAACUCCUACGGGAGGCAGCAGUGAGGAAUAUUGGUCAAUGGACGAGAGUCUGAACCAGCCAA
RNAcentral lists this ribosomal RNA (381 nucleotides) under uncultured Bacteroides sp. RNAcentral's name for it is "bacterial SSU rRNA". It matches the Rfam family "Bacterial small subunit ribosomal RNA", at positions 22 to 395 of the family's 1533-position model. The record is from RNAcentral. Lineage: Bacteria; Pseudomonadati; Bacteroidota; Bacteroidia; Bacteroidales; Bacteroidaceae.